GACGAACGCUGGCGGCGUGCCUAAUACAUGCAAGUAGAACGCACAGUUUAUACCGUAGCUUGCUACACCAUAGACUGUGAGUUGCGAACGGGUGAGUAACGCGUAGGUAACCUGCCUGGUAGCGGGGGAUAACUAUUGGAAACGAUAGCUAAUACCGCAUAAUAUUAAUUAUUGCAUGAUAAUUGAUUGAAAGAUGCAACUGCAUCACUACCAGAUGGACCUGCGUUGUAUUAGCUAGUAGGUGAGGUAACGGCUCACCUAGGCGACGAUACAUAGCCGACCUGAGAGGGUGAUCGGCCACACUGGGACUGAGACACGGCCCAGACUCCUACGGGAGGCAGCAGUAGGGAAUCUUCGGCAAUGGACGAAAGUCUGACCGAGCAACGCCGCGUGAGUGAAGAAGGUUUUCGGAUCGUAAAGCUCUGUUGUAAGAGAAGAACGGGUGUGAGAGUGGAAAGUUCACACUGUGACGGUAUCUUACCAGAAAGGGACGGCUAACUACGUGCCAGCAGCCGCCGUAA
Molecule: ribosomal RNA, 521 nt
Filed under: uncultured bacterium
Lineage: Bacteria
Description: partial 16S ribosomal RNA
Rfam family: Bacterial small subunit ribosomal RNA
Source: RNAcentral